AUUGAACGCUGGCGGCAGGCCUAACACAUGCAAGUCGAACGGAGCGGCGGACGGGUGAGUAAUGCCUAGGAAUCUGCAUGGUAGUGGGGGAUAACGACCGGAAACGGGCGAUAAUACCGCAUACUAUCAGAUGAGCCUAGGUCGGAUUAGCUAGUUGGUGGGGUAAAGGCCUACCAAGGCGAAGAUCCGUAACUGGUCUGAGCGGAUGAGCAGGCACACUGGAACUGAGACACGGUCCAGACGCCGACGGGUGGCAGCAGUGGGAAAUAUUGGAAAAUGGGCGAAAGCCUGAUGCAGCCAUGCCGCGUGUGUGAAGAAGGUCUUCGGAUUGUAAAGCACUUUAAGUUGGUAGGCGUUACCAACAGAAUAAGCACCGGCUAACUUCGUGCCAGCAGCCGCGGUAAUAC
This 407-nucleotide ribosomal RNA is filed under the name uncultured bacterium. RNAcentral describes it as "partial 16S ribosomal RNA". It matches the Rfam family "Bacterial small subunit ribosomal RNA", at positions 30 to 526 of the family's 1533-position model. The record is from RNAcentral.